CCUACGGGAGGCAGCAGUGGGGAAUAUUGCACAAUGGGGGAAACCCUGAUGCAGCGACGCCGCGUGAGUGAAGAAGUAUUUCGGUAUGUAAAGCUCUAUCAGCAGGGAAGAAAUAGCGACCUUUGGGUCGCCAGACGGUACCUGAUUAAGAAGCCCCGGCUAACUACGUGCCAGCAGCCGCGGUAAUAAGUAGGGGGCAAGCGUUAUCCGGAUUUACUGGGUGUAAAGGAGGCGUAGACGGCAGCGCAGGUCUGAAGUGAAAUGCCGGGGCUUAACCCCGGAACUGCUUUGGAAAUUGUGCAGCUAGAGUGCAGGAGAGGUAAGUGGAAUUCCUAGUGUAGCGGUGAAAUGCGUAGAUAUUAGGAGGAACACCAGUGGCGAAGGCGGCUUACUGGACUGUAACUGACGUUGAGGCUCGAAAGCGUGGGGAGCAAACAGGAUUAGAUACCCUUGUAGUC
Molecule: ribosomal RNA, 458 nt
Filed under: uncultured bacterium
Lineage: Bacteria
Description: partial 16S ribosomal RNA
Rfam family: Bacterial small subunit ribosomal RNA
Source: RNAcentral